Ursus maritimus (polar bear) is the source of this 198-nucleotide unclassified non-coding RNA. Lineage: Eukaryota; Metazoa; Chordata; Mammalia; Carnivora; Ursidae. The record is from Ensembl.
UGGGUUACCUUUAAGUAUGAGGAUUCUAUCCAAACCUUGAAGUAUCUUUUGACUUUUUAUUUGAAAAUGCACAUGCAUGUGCAUUCAUGAAGGGCAGAGAGAUGAUGAAUGUUCUCAUCUGAGUUAGAACCAAAUACAGUGUAGACAGCUGCUGUGAGCUUUCUUAUUACAAUUUUGGACUGACAUGAGUUGGAAAAU